UUGACAGUUCUGGAGCCUGAUGUACUCUGUGUUUUCCCACACUACCUUUAGAAUAUGGUGCAGCCCUACUCUAGAGGGACCAAUUUGAGAGGAGAGAGUAGAUUAGUCUCCAUGCUUAUUCAAUCCAUGGUGUAU
This 135-nucleotide small RNA is filed under the name Chelonoidis abingdonii (Abingdon island giant tortoise). Its description in RNAcentral is "TUC338 (ENSCABG00000018903.1)". The record is from RNAcentral. Lineage: Eukaryota; Metazoa; Chordata; Testudines; Testudinidae.